This 2125-nucleotide ribosomal RNA is filed under the name Salmonella enterica. Its description in RNAcentral is "partial 23S ribosomal RNA". It matches the Rfam family "Bacterial large subunit ribosomal RNA", at positions 1 to 2141 of the family's 2925-position model. The record is from RNAcentral. Lineage: Bacteria; Pseudomonadati; Pseudomonadota; Gammaproteobacteria; Enterobacterales; Enterobacteriaceae.
GGGUUGUGAGGUUAAGCGACUAAGCGUACACGGUGGAUGCCCUGGCAGUCAGAGGCGAUGAAGGACGUGCUAAUCUGCGAUAAGCGCCGGUAAGGUGAUAUGAACCGUUAUAACCGGCGAUUUCCGAAUGGGGAAACCCAGUGUGACUCGUCACACUAUCAUUAACUGAAUCCAUAGGUUAAUGAGGCGAACCGGGGGAACUGAAACAUCUAAGUACCCCGAGGAAAAGAAAUCAACCGAGAUUCCCCCAGUAGCGGCGAGCGAACGGGGAGGAGCCCAGAGCCUGAAUCAGCAUGUGUGUUAGUGGAAGCGUCUGGAAAGGCGCGCGAUACAGGGUGACAGCCCCGUACACAAAAGCGCAUGUGCUGUGAGCUCGAUGAGUAGGGCGGGACACGUGGUAUCCUGUCUGAAUAUGGGGGGACCAUCCUCCAAGGCUAAAUACUCCUGACUGACCGAUAGUGAACCAGUACCGUGAGGGAAAGGCGAAAAGAACCCCGGCGAGGGGAGUGAAAAAGAACCUGAAACCGUGUACGUACAAGCAGUGGGAGCACCCUUCGGGGUGUGACUGCGUACCUUUUGUAUAAUGGGUCAGCGACUUAUAUUCUGUAGCAAGGUUAACCGUAUAGGGGAGCCGUAGGGAAACCGAGUCUUAACCGGGCGUUAAGUUGCAGGGUAUAGACCCGAAACCCGGUGAUCUAGCCAUGGGCAGGUUGAAGGUUGGGUAACACUAACUGGAGGACCGAACCGACUAAUGUUGAAAAAUUAGCGGAUGACCUGUGGCUGGGGGUGAAAGGCCAAUCAAACCGGGAGAUAGCUGGUUCUCCCCGAAAGCUAUUUAGGUAGCGCCUCGUGAAUUCAUCUCCGGGGGUAGAGCACUGUUUCGGCUAGGGGGCCAUCCCGGCUUACCAACCCGAUGCAAACUGCGAAUACCGGAGAAUGUUAUCACGGGAGACACACGGCGGGUGCUAACGUCCGUCGUGAAGAGGGAAACAACCCAGACCGCCAGCUAAGGUCCCAAAGUCAUAGUUAAGUGGGAAACGAUGUGGGAAGGCCCAGACAGCCAGGAUGUUGGCUUAGAAGCAGCCAUCAUUUAAAGAAAGCGUAAUAGCUCACUGGUCGAGUCGGCCUGCGCGGAAGAUGUAACGGGGCUAAACUAUGCACCGAAGCUGCGGCAGCGACACUAUGUGUUGUUGGGUAGGGGAGCGUUCUGUAAGCCUGUGAAGGUGUGUCGUGAGGCAUGCUGGAGGUAUCAGAAGUGCGAAUGCUGACAUAAGUAACGAUAAAGCGGGUGAAAAGCCCGCUCGCCGGAAGACCAAGGGUUCCUGUCCAACGUUAAUCGGGGCAGGGUGAGUCGACCCCUAAGGCGAGGCCGAAAGGCGUAGUCGAUGGGAAACGGGUUAAUAUUCCCGUACUUGGUGUUACUGCGAAGGGGGGACGGAGAAGGCUAUGUUGGCCGGGCGACGGUUGUCCCGGUUUAAGCGUGUAGGUGUGUGUUCCAGGUAAAUCCGGUUCACUUUAACACUGAGGCGUGAUGACGAGGCACUACGGUGCUGAAGCAACAAAUGCCCUGCUUCCAGGAAAAGCCUCUAAGCAUCAGGUAACAUCAAAUCGUACCCCAAACCGACACAGGUGGUCAGGUAGAGAAUACCAAGGCGCUUGAGAGAACUCGGGUGAAGGAACUAGGCAAAAUGGUGCCGUAACUUCGGGAGAAGGCACGCUGACACGUAGGUGAAGUGAUUUACUCAUGGAGCUGAAGUCAGUCGAAGAUACCAGCUGGCUGCAACUGUUUAUUAAAAACACAGCACUGUGCAAACACGAAAGUGGACGUAUACGGUGUGACGCCUGCCCGGUGCCGGAAGGUUAAUUGAUGGGGUCAGCGCAAGCGAAGCUCCUGAUCGAAGCCCCGGUAAACGGCGGCCGUAACUAUAACGGUCCUAAGGUAGCGAAAUUCCUUGUCGGGUAAGUUCCGACCUGCACGAAUGGCGUAAUGAUGGCCAGGCUGUCUCCACCCGAGACUCAGUGAAAUUGAACUCGCUGUGAAGAUGCAGUGUACCCGCGGCAAGACGGAAAGACCCCGUGAACCUUUACUAUAGCUUGACACUGAACAUUGAGCCUUGAUGUGUAG